CCUACGGGCGGCAGCAGUGGGGAAUAUUGGGCAAUGGGCGCAAGCCUGACCCAGCAACGCCGCGUGAAGGAAGAAGGCUUUCGGGUUGUAAACUUCUUUUCUCAGGGACGAAGCAAGUGACGGUACCUGAGGAAUAAGCCACGGCUAACUACGUGCCAGCAGCCGCGGUAAUACGUAGGUGGCAAGCGUUAUCCGGAUUUACUGGGUGUAAAGGGAGUGUAGGCGGGACUGCAAGUCAGAGGUGAAAACCAUGGGCGCAACCUAUGGCCUGCAUUUGAAACUGUAGUUCUUGAGUACUGGAGAGGCAGACGGAAUUCCUAGUGUAGCGGUGAAUUGCGUAGAUAUUAGGAGGAACACCAGUGGCGAAGGCGGUCUGCUGGACAGCAACUGACGCUGAGGCGCGAAAGCGUGGGGAGCAAACAGGAUUAGAUACCCGUGUAGUC
RNAcentral lists this ribosomal RNA (443 nucleotides) under uncultured bacterium. Its description in RNAcentral is "partial 16S ribosomal RNA". It matches the Rfam family "Bacterial small subunit ribosomal RNA", at positions 338 to 795 of the family's 1533-position model. The record is from RNAcentral.